This 456-nucleotide ribosomal RNA is filed under the name Salmonella enterica. RNAcentral's name for it is "bacterial SSU rRNA". It matches the Rfam family "Bacterial small subunit ribosomal RNA", at positions 1 to 453 of the family's 1533-position model. RNAcentral also lists the same sequence under 2 other names. The record is from RNAcentral. Lineage: Bacteria; Pseudomonadati; Pseudomonadota; Gammaproteobacteria; Enterobacterales; Enterobacteriaceae.
AAAUUGAAGAGUUUGAUCAUGGCUCAGAUUGAACGCUGGCGGCAGGCCUAACACAUGCAAGUCGAACGGUAACAGGAAGCAGCUUGCUGCUUUGCUGACGAGUGGCGGACGGGUGAGUAAUGUCUGGGAAACUGCCUGAUGGAGGGGGAUAACUACUGGAAACGGUGGCUAAUACCGCAUAACGUCGCAAGACCAAAGAGGGGGACCUUCGGGCCUCUUGCCAUCAGAUGUGCCCAGAUGGGAUUAGCUAGUUGGUGAGGUAACGGCUCACCAAGGCGACGAUCCCUAGCUGGUCUGAGAGGAUGACCAGCCACACUGGAACUGAGACACGGUCCAGACUCCUACGGGAGGCAGCAGUGGGGAAUAUUGCACAAUGGGCGCAAGCCUGAUGCAGCCAUGCCGCGUGUAUGAAGAAGGCCUUCGGGUUGUAAAGUACUUUCAGCGGGGAGGAAGGUG